UUUAUGUGGUGCUGAGGAUUGAAUCCAAUGCCUCACACAUGCGAGGCAAGCACUCUGCCACUGAGCCACAAUCUCAGCCCUAAAAUGCUAUUUUCUAAUGAGCUUUUCUGCUAGGAUUCCAAAGUAGCACAGAAUUGCAAAUUAUAUUAGUGCAGUAGCACUCAAAUUUUGGCUUUUACUCAGAAGCUUUUAAAAAUGCCGAUUGUUAGACUUGCCCCCAGAGUUUCUAACUGAGUAAAUCUGAGUGGGAGCCAGAAAGUUUGAUUCUAGCAAAUGUCCAGGUGGGGCUGAUGCGAUUGGUUUGGAGCCACAUUUUGAGAAUAACUACAUUAAGGUAAAAAUGUGUUGUUGUGUUGGAAUAAUCAUUGUAGGUGAUUGAAUCUGAAGUUGUUAAUAUUAUGAGAUUGCAAGCAUCUGCUGCAUAACAAGCUAUUCUAAAGUGAUUAUUAUUUCCAAAUCACUUAAAAUUUGAAAUAACUUCAUCAGCAUCUAAUUAUUUCCCAGUUGUAAUAAUUAUGUUCUGCUUUGUGUUAUACUUUUGUUUUCAUCCCACUGAAUAAAUGCUCUUGCAUAGAAGAGUAGAGAUCAGCAUUGAACCACAAGAAUAUACUUACCAGGUUAAACAAAACAAAACCAGUCAUUUUGAAAAAUUGGGUGAAGUUUAAAUCUAUUCAAAAUUUUAAACUUCAUUAGAGGGCCCUGCUUCUCUUGAGUCACCUAAGUCAGUGUGACUUCAGAGGGAAACGUUGUAACAGGAAGCUUUAUGUGGAUAAAUGUAUAUUCUUUCUAGAAAACCAAAGAGUGACCAGCUAUAAGAACAGACAAAAUAUGUAAUUCUAACAAAGAUGUGGUGUGAUUCAUUGUUUUGCCUUGCAUAUUACUAUAGAUCUUCAGGAAAAGCAGUUAACAACGCAUAUUAGUCACAAAGAUAUUUGUAUCCCAUGACCCC
RNAcentral lists this long non-coding RNA (949 nucleotides) under Marmota monax (woodchuck). The record is from RNAcentral. Lineage: Eukaryota; Metazoa; Chordata; Mammalia; Rodentia; Sciuridae.